AUAUGGUCAAGUAAGUAAGGGCAUACGGGGGAUGCCAGGGCACUGAGAGGCGAAGAAGGACGUGGUUUGCUGCGAUAAGCGACGGGGAGUUGUAAACAAGCGUUGAUCCGUUGAUUUCCGAAUGGGGGAACCCGGCAGGCGAUAGCCUGUCACCCAUGCGAGUGGGGGCGAUACCCGGGGAAUUGAAACAUCUUAGUACCCGGAGGAGAAGAAAGAAAGUUCGAUUUUGUGAGUAGCGGUGAGCGAAAGCGAAAGAGCCCAAACCUCUGUCUAUGUUACAGGCAUGGACCGCUGUAGCAGAGGUGUUGAAGGAGCCACAAGUGAGAGUUCAUGAUCUCACGAAGAGUAAAAAAGGUUGAGUAUAGAGGAACGGUAUUGGAAAAGCCGACCAGAGAAGGUGAAAGUCCUGUAUUCGAAAUAAUCAACUCUCUUAGUGGAAUUCCUGAGUACCACGGAACACGUGUAAUUUUGUGGGAAUCUGGAGGGACCACUCUCCAAGGCUAAAUACUCCUCAGUGACCGAUAGUGGACGAGUACCGUGAGGGAAAGGUGAAAAGAACCGGGGGACCGGAGUGAAAUAGAACCUGAAACCGUAUGCUUACAAGGUAUCAAAGCACUUGAGAUGUGUGAUGGUGUGCCUUUUGUAGAAUGAGCCGGCGAGUUACUCUAUGUUGCGAGCUUAAGACAGUGAGAUGUCGGAGGCGAAGCGAAAGCGAGUGUUAAUAGCGCGAGAAAAGUAGCAUGGAGUAAGCCCGAAGCCAGAUGAGCUAUCCAUGGGCAGGCUGAAAGUGAGGUAAAACUCAGUGGAGGGCCGAACCCGUUGACGUUGAAAAGUCUUGGGAUGACCUGUGGAUAGGGGUGAAAGGCCAACCAAAUCUGGCAAUAGCUGGUUCUCCCCGAAAUAGCUUUAGGGCUAGCGUCAUAUGUUUAGUCACAGGGGUAGAGCUACUGACAGGGCUAGGGGGCCCACAAGCUUACCAAACCCUAUCAAACUCCGAAUACUGUGACUUGAAGUAUGGCAGUCAGACUACGGGGGAUAAGCUUCGUGGUCAAAAGGGAAACAGCCCGGACCGUCGUCUAAGGUCCCAAAAUUCAUGCUAAGUGUGAAAGGAUGUGGAGAUACGGAGACAACCAGGAGGUUGGCUUAGAAGCAGCCACCCUUGAAAGAGUGCGUAAUAGCUCACUGGUCGAGUGUUUCUGCGCCGAAAAUGUAUGGGACUAAGCAUGAUACCGAAGACACGGGUGUGCAGUGAUGCACGCGGUAGGGGAGCGUUCUUUCAUCCGAUGAAGAUAUACCGAGAGGCGUAUUGGAGGAGUAAGAAGUGAGAAUGCCGGCAUGAGUAGCGUAAAAAGGGGUGAGAGUCCCCUUCACCGAAAACCCAAGGAUUCCCCGGGAAGGCAAAUCCGCCGGGGGUUAGUCGGGUCCUAAGGCGAGGCCGAGAGGCGUAGUCGAUGGCAAGCAGGUUAAUAUUCCUGCACCGUUAUGAUUGUGCGAAGGAGUGACGCAGAAGGAUAUUUAGAGCGGGGCGUUGGUAGACCCUGUUGGUAUAUGUAGGCUAUGAGAGAUGCAGGAAAAUCCGCAUCUUGAGCGGAGGUAUAUCGGGAAGUCUCAGAGAUGAGAAUAAGCUAAAGAUUCCAAGCUGCCAAGAAAUAGCUUCUAAGUUUAGGUCAUAAUGUCCGUACCGCAAACCGACACAGGUGGGUGGGAAGAGAAUUCCAAGGUGUUCGAGAUAACUUUCGUUAAGGAACUCGGCAAAAUGUCCCUGUAACUUCGGGAGAAAGGGAUCCGAAUUGAGUGAAGCCCCGCGGUGAAGCUCGAGUCGGACGCAGUGAAAAGAGGGUGGCGACUGUUUACCAAAAACACAGGUCUCUGCGAAAUCGUAAGAUGACGUAUAGGGACUGACACCUGCCCGGUGCCGGAAGGUUAAGAGGAGAUGUUAGCGCAAGCGAAGCUUCGAAUCGAAGCCCCGGUAAACGGCGGCCGUAACUAUGACGGUCCUAAGGUAGCGAAAUUCCUUGUCGGGUAAGUUCCGACCUGCACGAAUGGUGUAACGACCUCCCUACUGUCUCAACGAGAGUCUCGGCGAAAUUGUAAUGCCCGUGAAGAUGCGGGCUACCUGCGAUAGGACGGAAAGACCCCGUGAACCUUUACUGUAACCUGGCAUUGAACUUUGGUUUAUUAUGUGUAGGAUAGGUGGGAGACUGAGAGACAUGGACGCUAGUUUGUGUUGAGUCAUCGUUGAAAUACCACCCUUAGUGAACUCGAGUUCUAACUGUGUGAAUUACACAAGACAUUGUCAGGCGGGCGGUUUGACUGGGGCGGUCGCCUCCCAAAGUGUAACGGAGGCGCCCAAAGGUUCCCUCAGCGCGGACGGAAAUCGCGCAAAGAGUGUAAAGGCAGAAGGGAGCUUGACUGCGAGACCAACAAGUCGAGCAGAUGCGAAAGCAGGGCUUAGUGAUCCGGUGGUUCUGAGUGGAAGGGCCAUCGCUCAACGGAUAAAAGGUACUCCGGGGAUAACAGGCUGAUCGCGUCCAAGAGUUCAUAUCGACGACGCGGUUUGGCACCUCGAUGUCGGCUCGUCGCAUCCUGGGGCUGAAGCAGGUCCCAAGGGUAUGGCUGUUCGCCAUUUAAAGCGGUACGCGAGCUGGGUUCAGAACGUCGUGAGACAGUUCGGUCCCUAUCCAUCGCAGGCGAAGGAGAUUUGAAGGAAGUUGCCCCUAGUACGAGAGGACCGGGGUGAACGGAUCCAUGGUGUAUCAGUUGUCACGCCAGUGGCAUUGCUGAGUAGCUAUAUCCGGACGGGAUAACCGCUGAAAGCAUAUAAGCGGGAAGCCUCUCCAAAGAUAAGAUCUCCCUCCGCAAGGCUAAAGGCCCCGGGAAGAUGACCCGGUUGAUAGGCUACAGGUGUAAGUGUGGUAACACAUUCAGCCAAGUAGUACUAAUAGGCCGUGAGACUUGACCAUAUUACC
RNAcentral lists this ribosomal RNA (2969 nucleotides) under Leptospiraceae bacterium. Its description in RNAcentral is "23S ribosomal RNA". It matches the Rfam family "Bacterial large subunit ribosomal RNA". Lineage: Bacteria; Pseudomonadati; Spirochaetota; Leptospiria; Leptospirales; Leptospiraceae. The record is from RNAcentral.